Molecule: non-coding RNA, 199 nt
Organism: Vigna umbellata (rice bean)
Lineage: Eukaryota; Viridiplantae; Streptophyta; Magnoliopsida; Fabales; Fabaceae
Source: RefSeq, a predicted model, not a curated record
AUGAAAAGACAGAAAGAAAGAAAGAAAGAAAGAAGAAUCUCAAAUUAAACUGUUAUGUCUCAAGUGAUCACGAUUAGGGUGCCACUUCACUGUGAGAGAUGCAGGAGGAAGACUAUGACUAUAUGCAUGACUGCAGAUGGUGUUAAUUCUGCUGCUUUUGAAGGAAAAGACACAAUAGUGAUGAGAGGAGAAAGAGUAG